CCUACGGGUGGCAGCAGUCGAGAAUCAUUCACAAUGGGGGAAACCCUGAUGGUGCGACGCCGCGUGGGGGAAUGAAGGUCUUCGGAUUGUAAACCCCUGUCAUGUGGGAGCAAAUUAAAAAGAUAGUACCACAAGAGGAAGAGACGGCUAACUCUGUGCCAGCAGCCGCGGUAAUACAGAGGUCUCCAGCGUUGUUCGGAAUCACUGGGCGUAAGGCGUGCGUAGGCUGUUUCGUAAGUCGUGUGUGAAAGGCGCGGGCUCAACCCGCGGACGGCACAUGAUACUGCGAGACUAGAGUAAUGGAGGGGGAACCGGAAUUCUCGGUGUAGCAGUGAAAUGCGUAGAUAUCGAGAGGAACACUCGUGGCGAAGGCGGGUUCCUGGACAUUAACUGACGCUGAGGCACGAAGGCCAGGGGAGCGAAAGGGAUUAGAUACCCGUGUAGUC
Molecule: ribosomal RNA, 446 nt
Filed under: uncultured bacterium
Lineage: Bacteria
Description: partial 16S ribosomal RNA
Rfam family: Bacterial small subunit ribosomal RNA
Source: RNAcentral